CAGGGACAGUAGACAGUAGACAGGGACAGUAGACAGUGGACAGGGACAGUAGACAGUAGACAGUAGACAGUGGACAUAGACAGUGGACAGUAGACAGUGGACAGUAGACAGUAGACAGUAGACAGGGACAGUAGACAGUGGACAGGGACAGUAGACAGUGGACAGGGACAGUAGACAUGGACAGUAGACAGGGACAGUAGACAGUGGACAGUAGACAGUGGACAGGGACAGUAGACAGUAGACAGGGACAGUAGACAGAGACAGUAGACAGUGGACAGUAGACAGUAGACAGGGACAGUAGACAGUGGACAGUAGACAGUGGACAGGGACAGUAGUCAGUGGACAGCGUGAUGAUACUGUUUGCAACACAGGGGUUCCAGACAGAGACAGGGACAGUGGACAGGGACAGUGGACAGUGAGACAAUACUGUUUGCAACACAGGGGUCCCAGACAGGGACAGUGGACAGGGACAGUGGACAGGGACAGUGGACAGGGACAGUAGACAGUGAGACGAUACUGUUUGCAACACAGGGGUCCCAGACAGAGACAGGGACAGUGGACAGGGACAGUAGACAGUGAGACGAUACUGUUUGCAACACAGGGGUCCC
Molecule: long non-coding RNA, 608 nt
Organism: Oncorhynchus tshawytscha (Chinook salmon)
Lineage: Eukaryota; Metazoa; Chordata; Actinopteri; Salmoniformes; Salmonidae
Source: Ensembl